GCUCCCCGCUGACGAGCGGCGGACGGGUGAGUAAUGCAUAGGAAACUGCCCAGUAGUGGGGGAUAGCCCGGGGAAACCCGGAUUAAUACCGCAUACGCCCUUCGGGGGAAAGCAGGGGAUCUUCGGACCUUGCGCUAUUGGAUGUGCCUAUGUCGGAUUAGCUAGUUGGUGGGGUAAGAGCCUACCAAGGCGACGAUCCGUAGCUGGUCUGAGAGGAUGAUCAGCCACAUCGGGACUGAGACACGGCCCGAACUCCUACGGGAGGCAGCAGUGGGGAAUAUUGGACAAUGGGGGCAACCCUGAUCCAGCCAUGCCGCGUGUGUGAAGAAGGCUUUCGGGUUGUAAAGCACUUUCAGUGAGGAGGAAAACCUUACGACUAAUACUCGUGAGGCUUGACGUUACUCACAGAAGAAGCACCGGCUAACUCCGUGCCAGCAGCCGCGGUAAUACGGAGGGUGCAAGCGUUAAUCGGAAUUACUGGGCGUAAAGCGCGCGUAGGUGGUUUGAUAAGCGAGAUGUGAAAGCCCCGGGCUCAACCUGGGAACGGCAUUUCGAACUGUCAGGCUAGAGUAUGGUAGAGGAGUGUGGAAUUUCCUGUGUA
Molecule: ribosomal RNA, 601 nt
Filed under: Marinobacter algicola DG893
Lineage: Bacteria; Pseudomonadati; Pseudomonadota; Gammaproteobacteria; Pseudomonadales; Marinobacteraceae
Description: bacterial SSU rRNA
Rfam family: Bacterial small subunit ribosomal RNA
Source: RNAcentral